Molecule: long non-coding RNA, 136 nt
Filed under: Chinchilla lanigera (long-tailed chinchilla)
Lineage: Eukaryota; Metazoa; Chordata; Mammalia; Rodentia; Chinchillidae
Description: lncRNA (ENSCLAG00000022505.1)
Source: RNAcentral
GUUGCUCAGUGCCAUCCAGUGAAGAAGGAAAGCUUGUAAAAAAGUGAUGGCGUGUCCACAUCUACCUUAUUUACUGGGUUUGGCACCACAUGACUUCUGCCUCAUCCCCAAAGUUACAAUGACCAUGAAAGCCUGA